GGGGGUGUAACGGAUUCGACUGUGUAUCUUUAGUGUCAUCAGGAUGCAGGUGGAGCGCUAUCUCCUGAAACUGGCACCCAAUUUAUCUGCCGACAAUAACGCAGAUUUCGCACUGGCUGCGUAAGUAGUCAGUCAGCUACGCGAGUAGCAACGGGCACCCGCUACGCGGCUCUGAGGAGCGGGCUGCCUGAAAGAAACCAGGGCUAGACUCGUUCGGGGGUUCGGACCCGGGCGGUGACCAGUUCCGGACUACGUCGUGCGGGUUUGUCGGUGAACCCUGUGCGUCGGAAUGUUAAUCGUCGACUAAACUUGUAGAUUCCUGAGGCCGGGUUCAUAGGACGCGGGUUCAACUCCCGCCACCUCCAGUC
Molecule: transfer-messenger RNA, 368 nt
Filed under: Spirochaetia
Lineage: Bacteria; Pseudomonadati; Spirochaetota
Also listed under: 1 other name
Description: SLST01 sp007694025 Standard tmRNA
Rfam family: transfer-messenger RNA
About the family: Bacterial tmRNA, also known as 10Sa RNA or SsrA, is named for its dual tRNA and mRNA-like properties. Its role is to liberate the mRNA from a stalled ribosome.
Source: RNAcentral